UACGGAGGAUGCGAGCGUUAUCCGGAUUUAUUGGGUUUAAAGGGUGCGUAGGCGGCGAGUUAAGUCAGCGGUCAAAUGUCGGGGCUCAACCCCGGCCUGCCGUCGGAACUGGGUGCCUUGAGUGGGCGAGAAGUAUGCGGAAUGCGUGGUGUAGCGGUGAAAUGCAUAGAUAUCACGCAGAACCCCGAUUGCGAAGGCAGCAUACCGGCGCCCGACUGACGCUGAAGCACGAAAGCGUGGGGAUCGAACAGG
This 252-nucleotide ribosomal RNA is filed under the name uncultured Bacteroidales bacterium. RNAcentral's name for it is "partial 16S ribosomal RNA". It matches the Rfam family "Bacterial small subunit ribosomal RNA", at positions 524 to 776 of the family's 1533-position model. Lineage: Bacteria; Pseudomonadati; Bacteroidota; Bacteroidia; Bacteroidales. The record is from RNAcentral.